GCGUUGAUGGUUCAGCGGUAGAAUGUUGGCCAACCACGCAUGUGGACCAGGGUUAAAUCCCCUGCCGACGCA
RNAcentral lists this transfer RNA (72 nucleotides) under Trichobilharzia regenti. It matches the Rfam family "tRNA". From Rfam's summary of the family: Transfer RNA (tRNA) molecules are approximately 80 nucleotides in length. Their secondary structure includes four short double-helical elements and three loops (D, anti-codon, and T loops). Further hydrogen bonds mediate the characteristic L-shaped molecular structure. tRNAs have two regions of fundamental functional importance: the anti-codon, which is responsible for specific mRNA codon recognition, and the 3' end, to which the tRNAs corresponding amino acid is attached (by aminoacyl-tRNA synthetases). tRNAs cope with the degeneracy of the genetic code in two manners: having more than one tRNA (with a specific anti-codon) for a particular amino acid; and 'wobble' base-pairing, i.e. permitting non-standard base-pairing at the 3rd anti-codon position. The record is from Rfam by way of RNAcentral. Lineage: Eukaryota; Metazoa; Platyhelminthes; Trematoda; Strigeidida; Schistosomatidae.